Long non-coding RNA from Bombus pyrosoma, 5600 nucleotides. RefSeq lists it as uncharacterized. The transcript has 2 exons. The record is from RefSeq and is a predicted model, not a curated record. Lineage: Eukaryota; Metazoa; Arthropoda; Insecta; Hymenoptera; Apidae.
CUGUGAUGAAUGAUUUUGACUCGAUUAACUGUAUGUUACUCUAUCGAUUGACUGUCUUCGACUUGGCGGCUGUGCUGUCUUGACUACUGACUCCUUCUGUUCCUCGCACUGGUUUUAACUGUUACUGAUGAACUUUGACUGUUACUCGAAUGUUACUGUGUGAACAAGUCUAGAGAGCAAGUCUAGAACAAGUAAAAUUCGUUCUCGUGUUAUCACGGAGGAAAACUCGGUAUGGGUGUACCUUUUGAACUAAGCACGCGGAUUCGUUGUUCACACCUUUCGUGAGGGUAAUGAUCCGCAAUACUAAUUGGCUAUAGCCAACGUUAAUGAAUGAAGAUAGGAGAAGGGAGUCUCCUACCAACGUGAGGGGUGUCCUUGUUCAUGGGAAAACCUAGCUCUUCUCGUUAGGUAAAUACUCGCUAUUUUCGUUAGAUAACUACCUGCUUCCUCCGUGAUUUUUAAGAAUGAAUAAUAAACCUAAGGACUGUUCUAAGGACUAGCCAUAAACCGAAUAUACUUGCAGAAAUAAAGAUUCUGUUUAAGGUGGUUCCUUAGGUUUAUUAAGGAUCUGUAUAACAGUACGUGGGCCUUUGACGGUCAGGCAAUGAAGGAUGUCGCACGGACCACCUCACGUGACGUGAAACAAAGAAUUUUGUCUUAGAAAAGAAAAUUAGAGGUAAACAUUGCGAUUUCCAGGGGUUAUUUCCUUUUGCACUUCUCGUUUCUCAUAGUGUAAAAUUUACCGCCAUGUUUUAUAAAAUAUAGUAUAACGUUUUUGCAAAUUUCGUUGGUUGUGGAAUGGUGCAAGAGGUAUUAGUAGAAAAUUAAUAGAACACUACAGUUUCUGAGGAUACUAUUUGCCUUCUUUUCUCUAAUCCCUUUUACAGCACAGUUCCACGAAAUAUCACAGAAUUCAAUACGUUUAUAGAUGUUAAAGAGCCAACACUGUUUUACACGAGUAAACAUAUCGUAUUCUCGAUCGAUCAGUGUUUUAAUUUCGUUUAGUUAGAAAUUUUUCUUCAGUUUUUACUAUUGAAACUAUAUAGGUACUUCUGACAAAAUUAAUGUUGCCUUUUACUGAGGUGAAUACCGUUUUAAUUUUAGCUGUCUAUGUAGCGUUAAAAGGCCAUUAAAUUUUCAGACGUAAAAAUAGUAGAAGCUUGUAAACCGAUAUUACGAGAAACGCCACAUAGAAAUCAAAACGGGAGAAAGACAAUCGUAUAUUUCAAUUCUGGAGUUGUAAAUUGCGACUCAUUUACUCCUACAGUAAAAUCUCGAAUAAAAAGAGAAGAUUCUUUGACGCCACUGGUCGUGCGAGGAUACGUAAAUACGUACGCAAACAAAUAGAUAAAUGCGUUCAUUAAGAUUAGUAUACAACCGCGCGAUAUGUAGAGUUAAUUGAACGUGCGGCAGAGGGAACGAAAGGAGAAAAAGGAUGGAAGCAGCAUUUCACUCUUCUUCGGGUUUCGCUAUAAAUCGACGAAAAAUACGAAAGAUAAAAGCCGAGCGAAAAGAGGAGAAUAUUAAAUGGGACUGUUUUCGACAGCCAUGAAUUUCUCAAGCUCUAAAAACAAUUCCAACAAAUAGCGCAACUUUUAACGUACAUCCGUGUCAUCGAGACUUGCACAUUUUAAGUUUAAGUGUUCCCAGAAACGUCGUGCACGUCACCCCUAGUAUUGUAUCAAGAAACAUCAACUGAAAAACUGUUAUAACGCAAUAAAUCACGCUGAAUGUUUAUCGCGGAGCUGAGAAAUUUCACGGAAAGCCUCGAGAAACGUGGGGGGAUUCUGAACUGUUGACCUUCUACUUUUUGAUGGUGAGACGUCAACAAUCGACUAGAGCGUUCGUUUAGCCUUGUUGCCACGCUGAUAACAUAGAAAAGCAUAUCCAUGUAAAAAAAAAAAACACCAAUGCAUGCGAAUGAAUUCACAGGUGGCUAACAUGUUGGACUGAACAUGAUCUCAUUGUUUGACAAAUUUCGGUUUGAUAGGCAAAGCAAAAUUAAAACGAUGACCGGUUCUUAUAGUAGAUCUGAUGAAUAAAUCAAUCCAGACCUCUUCGUUUUUGUUCUUUUUUUUUUUGGUAGGAAUCCUUUCCGAAAUAUAACUCCUUUGACGUGUUAUAUUAUUAUAUUAUAUUAUAUUAUAUUAUAUUAUAUUAUAUAUUAUUUAUACAUAUAUGUAAAAUAAUAUGUGAUAUUAAAAAUAUUUUUCAUCGAUUGUCGUUACUAUUACAAUAUGGAAAUUCUAUCUAGCAGGGAAAGUGAUAAAAUUUUUCUUUAUAACAUAAUUUCUGAAAGAGAAAUUAAAUUACAAAUAACAUAGUUAACUUAAUAAAAAUAGUUAUUAAGCCUGGCUUCAGGGACAUCGUAUUACAGUUACAAUUUGGGAACUAAUAGUAAUUUAAUUUAAAACUCAAGUGCCUUGGAUGUAGUUAACACGUAAAUCAUGUUGUUAUUGCGUUUAGCGACGAAAAAAAUCUCUAGCAAUAAAACGUAAUGUUUUUCAUUUACUUUAUGAAUAUUGAGUGACUUCUCUUUAUACAUAUGUACAUCAUUUGCAACUUUCAUUGAAUUUUCUCAAGAACGUAAUAUGUUAUUCAUUGACGUCUCCUCGCGUUAUUUUGCCAAUUAUGAUUUUUAAAUUGAGCGAAAUCGCUGUAUCAUUAAUGUAAGACAUAUAUUUAGUUAGACGAAAUACACGAUGCACCUUGCUCCUCAAAAGAUAUCAGACCGAUUCUGUCAAUUACGUAGAUUGUUCAAGAAACUUAAUCAACUUAAUUAAGAUCGAUAUAUCUAUUAAAAGUCCCCCCAAAAUGGUAUAAUUCGAUAAUUUCGUCGGCGUUUUAACGUGUUACACACGCAGUAUUUUAACACUUCAUAAAAAGAAAAACACGAGUACAUCUAUGCUCUAAACGAAUUGUAUCCCAGUUUCUUUAAGAAGUAGAAAAUUGACAAAUUCUAUUUAAGAUUAAGAAUCCCUCUUGAUAGAAUAAAAAAGUGAAACUGUAGAAUAAACGUAGAAUAUAAACCGUAGAAUAUUUAUCUGUUAUAUUUUCUAUCUAGUGCAGCCAGAAGUGCUAUCAUUCGUUUAUUGAGCUAAAAUAAUCAUUCUCCUGCAUUUUAUCUGCCCAGCCUACAAAUUUUAAAUACGUACAUAUGUACUCCAACGAAAAACAGAAGUUUCGAAAGCUACUGCGGAAACUAAUCGCGCGAUGACGUCAUUCAUCAAAUACCGUGUAUGGAAUCAGUUGAACGGUUUGAUAAAGAGACGCGAGAGGCCAAGGGAGAGGAAAGUGAAAACAAGACAACCUUCUUAUCAAUGUUUUUCCUAACGGAAAUGCAACGCCUCGCUCGUAUUUAUUACAACUGAUAAACAACGUGAGCAAUUAGUAUACGCGAUGACGAAAUUAUUUUCAUGCAUCAACAUUCUCGUCACAAAUGCGAUUCUGAUUGUGAGUAGCUGCCGACCGUUCCUGUCGGGGGUAGUGUCGAAAGCGUUUUUGGAGAACCGCUCCGAUCUUUGCUGUUGAUGCUCACUGAUAUUGACAUGGACACGAUGACACGAUAAUGGCAAUCUCUUCCAUGAAAACAAGCGUCUGUCGAUUCAAUUGCUAAUCCUAUUACCGAGUCAUCGAUGCGAGUUGGCAUGCGUCACGGUUAGUGAUUGCGCGUUAUUCGCAUGAUGAACUAUGGAAAUCAUAGAAUGGCCUUUCCAGGUGGAUCGUUGUCGUUCGUCGUAAUCUACUUGAAAUAUUUUACCAGCCUCGGGACUCAAACUACGCAAAUUUCUAUUUCUGCGUAUAGUCAAGUAUAAUAAACAAUAAUUAGUUAGCGAACAGAUAGACGGAUGACUGCUCUAGUCGUCGAAGGAGGCCGUUAGCGAGAAGUAGUUUCCCGGCCCGGGAAAACCCCUCGAGAGCCUGCUGUAAAUUUAGCGAUGAAUGAUACGGUAUUGGGAUUGCCGGAUCCGCGACACAUGGCCCCUUUUAGUAUGUUUAAUACCUUUUAGUAAUAAACACAUUGAGGUUCUUCCAGCGACAGGUCAAAUUUCUCUUACAUACGGAUAAAUAGAACAGGCUUCUUAAAAAAAAAAAAAAGUUAGAGGUUCAAUGACAAAAUCUCAUAGAACAUAACAGAUGGCAUAAGUGACAAAGCAGAUGUGAAAGAAGAAUAGUUACGAAAUAUCAACAAAGCGACAUCAUAUAUUGUACGUAUCUUAUUAUUAUAUAAGAAGGAAGCUUUCCGCGAGCACUAUUUAAUUUACGUAAUUUUGCAACGAUUAAUCAGAUAAUAAAUUAGCCAACGUAUACAUGAAUAUAUUAAGAAGAAUCAAUUCUUUACUGUCAAGCGGAUUUUUUUUCAAGUAACAAUUAAAUACAAUCAAGAUCGAAAACCGUAUGACGAUCGAUAGGAUCGAACAGUAACAAGCGUUUUAUAAUCUACUUACGAUCAAUGAACGAAGGGAAGUCAACGAACCGGAUACAGUUUACCAUUAUCGAGCAACAAUACCUCAUAAGAUCAAACUCAUGUACGCUGUUAAAAUUCGUCGUAAUGACACGUAAUUAUUCCUAAAUGCAUAAUACUUGCACGUGUGCGCAUUUUCGUGUUAUAUAGAUAAACAUUUAAUCAUAUCCAUGAAAGUACGCACGAAACGGCCCCACCGUCGUUGUUACUUGCCGUUGAUUGACGUCAUAAUGACACUUGUUUGCUUUAACAGCCCGGUAUAAGUACGUGUAUGUAUACGCUAAUCGAUAACGAUAAAUAGCGGCACGGGCUGCCUGAAAAUAGUGCCGGCGAUUUCUCAAUGAAGAGAGGCAAUGGGCACAUGUCUGAUCGAUGAUCGACCACACGUAUGUACAUAAUAAAAAGUGUAGAAGUGUCGAAGAUCUUACUGGAAAACUUAGCGCUUCUUCUUAACAGAUUAGAGAAUUUAUGUGUGUAUAUAUUUAAUUUGAAACAUUCUUUCUAGCAUUUAUAAGACAGUAAACGAUUCUGUAACUUAAACUGCAAUGCAUCGUAGAAUAUAGGAGGAGGAUACGUUCGAGUGGAAUUUCGACACAAAAGGAAGCAGCGAUUGACUUGACGUGUUAUUACAUUCCACCGUAUGAAACUCUUUAGCAACAUGUGGACGAAAAGGGAAGCAUAAGAAUUCAAAACAAUAAUAAAUUCCGAUCACGUUGCUUCUUUCAGCAUAUUAAGUCUCGAAGACUGGAAAGAAUCAGAAACUUUCACGUAUCCUAUGUUCAAAAAUCAAAUGAAAACUAUUCGGUCAAUAAAAAGCUUUAGUCGAAAAUUUCCACAAAUAGUUACAAAAUAGCAGAUAAUUACAAAAUUUGAUCAUUAAUCGUCAGGUAGAAAGAUUUGUAAUGGAGACAACUAUGUCUUUUCUAAAUAGAUCACCAGUUUAUUUAUACCUUUAUAAAACGUUUUUCUAAAAAUGUUCGAUACUGAGAACCAGGCUAUAUAUACGCUGGAGGAAUAUUUUAAUAACAAGGAUGAAAAAUUCAACAGCGACGGAAUAAACGAAUUGUAAAACAUGCAAAACACAAUUAUAAGUAACAACGAAUAUUACGUUAUUAAAGAGAAUAGUUAAUAAAAA